UGGUAAAGUGGGAUUUGCUGGAGGAUUAGUUCCUGGAGAGAAGAAAAUAGAUGGAAGAUCAAGGGUCGAUCGUGAUUCCGACAAUCAACAACUUAUGCAGUUGGAAGAAAAAGAUGUAGUAUCAUCUGUUGCUACUGUGCUGUCUGAUCUUUGUGGUCCUGGAGAAUGGAUGCCCAUGGAGAAACUCCAUGCAGAGUUGGUGGAGCAAUUUAGCAAUGUCUGGCAUCAUACUCGGAUAAGAAGGUAUCUCACAUCUGAGGACUGGCCUGGUCCUGAAUCCAAAGGGAAGCCCUGGUAUGGCUUGCUUAUGUUAUUGAGAAAAUACCCAGAGCACUUCGUCAUCAACACAAGGUCCAAGGGACGUGUGACACUGGAGUUUGUCUCUCUCGUCUCUUUGCUAUCAUAGGAUCCUGCGAACAUAACUAGGUUCAUCCCCUCGCAUGGUCUUGUUGCAUGCACUUUAUCCAGAGUGAAUUAUGUUGUUGAUUGUUGAUCUCAAGUCUUGGAUUAGGUCUGUACUAACUACAUGAACGAAUGUAAAUGUGUUUCUGUUUCUUGUUUUUGUCUCUCUCUAUGAA
This 578-nucleotide unclassified non-coding RNA is filed under the name Hevea brasiliensis (rubber tree). Lineage: Eukaryota; Viridiplantae; Streptophyta; Magnoliopsida; Malpighiales; Euphorbiaceae. The record is from RNAcentral.